This 492-nucleotide ribosomal RNA is filed under the name uncultured bacterium. Its description in RNAcentral is "partial 16S ribosomal RNA". It matches the Rfam family "Bacterial small subunit ribosomal RNA", at positions 29 to 507 of the family's 1533-position model. The record is from RNAcentral.
AGUGAACGCUGGCGGUAGGCCUAACACAUGCAAGUCGAACGGCAGCACAGUAAGCGCUUGCUCUUACGGGUGGCGAGUGGCGGACGGGUGAGGAAUACAUCGGAAUCUACUUUUUCGUGGGGGAUAACGUAGGGAAACUUACGCUAAUACCGCAUACGACCUACGGGUGAAAGCAGGGGAUCUUCGGACUUUGCGCGAUUGAAUGAGCCGAUGUCGGAUUAGCUAGUUGGCGGGGAAAAGGCCCACCAAGGCAACGAUCCGUAGCUGGUCUGAGAGGAUGGUCAGCCACACUGGAACUGAGACACGGUCCAGACUCCUACGGGAGGCAGCAGUGGGGAAUAUUGGACAAUGGGCGCAAGCCUGACCCAGCCAUACCGCGUGAGUGAAGAAGGCCUUCGGAUUGUAAAGCCCUUUUGUUGGGAAAGAAAAGCAGCAGGUUAAUACCCCGCUGUUCUGACGGUACCCAAAGAAAAAGCACCGGCUAACUUCGUG